GGCGGUUCGUCGGUGCUGGGUGCCCGCCGGAGCCUCUGUGUGCGGGCAGGGCCUGGCGCUUCUCGGGCGGAGCGGAGCGGGCGCUGCGUUUGGGGUAAUGAUUUAAAUCUGCCAUUCAGAAGAAAUACUAAUGGGACUCCUGACAUUUUGCUGAUCUUCCUGUUAGAAGAAUUAUUAUCAUCUCGUUCUGAAAUCAGUGAUAAAAGUACCAAUAUUCAAACUGCUGUGCUUAAAUAUUCAAGGUUAGAGUCUCAAGUUAGAUUACUUCCAGUCAUUUUGCUGCUGAACAGAAUUACUAGUUGUGAAUUGGCGAUUUGAGGUUCUUAUACAGUUCACAGGAGGAGUUAGACAGGAGAAGCAGCAGGAAAAAAAUGGC
Struthio camelus australis is the source of this 376-nucleotide long non-coding RNA. RefSeq lists it as uncharacterized. Lineage: Eukaryota; Metazoa; Chordata; Aves; Struthioniformes; Struthionidae. The record is from RefSeq and is a predicted model, not a curated record.